UACGUAGGGUGCAAGCGUUAAUCGGAAUUACUGGGCGUAAAGGGCUCGUAGGUGGCUUGCUAAGUCAUACGUGAAAUCCCUCAGCUUAACUGGGGAACUGCGUCUGAUACUGGAUGGCUUGAGUUUGGGAGAGGGAUGCGGAAUUCCAGGUGUAGCGGUGAAAUGCGUAGAUAUCUGGAGGAACACCGGUGGCGAAGGCGGUGCUCUGGGCAGGAUCUGACGCUGAGGAGCGAAAGUGUGGGGAGCGAACAGG
RNAcentral lists this ribosomal RNA (253 nucleotides) under uncultured bacterium. Its description in RNAcentral is "partial 16S ribosomal RNA". It matches the Rfam family "Bacterial small subunit ribosomal RNA", at positions 524 to 776 of the family's 1533-position model. The record is from RNAcentral.